AGCCCGUUAAUGGGUGAUGGCGUGCCUUUUGUAGAAUGAACCGGCGAGUUACGAUUUGAUGCAAGGUUAAGCAGUAAAUGUGGAGCCGUAGCGAAAGCGAGUCUGAAUAGGGCGUUUAGUAUUUGGUCGUAGACCCGAAACCAGGUGAUCUACCCUUGGUCAGGUUGAAGUUCAGGUAACACUGAAUGGAGGACCGAACCGACUUACGUUGAAAAGUGAGCGGAUGAACUGAGGGUAGCGGAGAAAUUCCAAUCGAACCUGGAGAUAGCUGGUUCUCUCCGAAAUAGCUUUAGGGCUAGCCUCAAGUGAUGAUUAUUGGAGGUAGAGCACUGUUUGGACGAGGGGCCCCUCUCGGGUUACCGAAUUCAGACAAACUCCGAAUGCCAAUUAAUUUAACUUGGGAGUCAGAACAUGGGUGAUAAGGUCCGUGUUCGAAAGGGAAACAGCCCAGACCACCAGCUAAGGUCCCAAAAUAUAUGUUAAGUGGAAAAGGAUGUGGCGUUGCCCAGACAACUAGGAUGUUGGCUUAGAAGCAGCCAUCAUUUAAAGAGUGCGUAAUAGCUCACUAGUCGAGUGACACUGCGCCGAAAAUGUACCGGGGCUAAACAUAUUACCGAAGCUGUGGAUUGUCCUUUGGACAAUGGUAGGAGAGCGUUCUAAGGGCGUUGAAGCAUGAUCGUAAGGACAUGUGGAGCGCUUAGAAGUGAGAAUGCCGGUGUGAGUAGCGAAAGACGGGUGAGAAUCCCGUCCACCGAUUGACUAAGGUUUCCAGAGGAAGGCUCGUCCGCUCUGGGUUAGUCGGGUCCUAAGCUGAGGCCGACAGGCGUAGGCGAUGGAUAACAGGUUGAUAUUCCUGUACCACCUAUAAUCGUUUUAAUCGAUGGGGGGACGCAGUAGGAUAGGCGAAGCGUGCGAUUGGAUUGCACGUCUAAGCAGUAAGGCUGAGUAUUAGGCAAAUCCGGUACUCGUUAAGGCUGAGCUGUGAUGGGGAGAAGACAUUGUGUCUUCGAGUCGUUGAUUUCACACUGCCGAGAAAAGCCUCUAGAUAGAAAAUAGGUGCCCGUACCGCAAACCGACACAGGUAGUCAAGAUGAGAAUUCUAAGGUGAGCGAGCGAACUCUCGUUAAGGAACUCGGCAAAAUGACCCCGUAACUUCGGGAGAAGGGGUGCUCUUUAGGGUUAACGCCCAGAAGAGCCGCAGUGAAUAGGCCCAAGCGACUGUUUAUCAAAAACACAGGUCUCUGCUAAACCGUAAGGUGAUGUAUAGGGGCUGACGCCUGCCCGGUGCUGGAAGGUUAAGAGGAGUGGUUAGCUUCUGCGAAGCUACGAAUCGAAGCCCCAGUAAACGGCGGCCGUAACUAUAACGGUCCUAAGGUAGCGAAAUUCCUUGUCGGGUAAGUUCCGACCCGCACGAAAGGCGUAACGAUUUGGGCACUGUCUCAACGAGAGACUCGGUGAAAUCAUAGUACCUGUGAAGAUGCAGGUUACCCGCGACAGGACGGAAAGACCCCGUGGAGCUUUACUGUAGCCUGAUAUUGAAAUUCGGCACAGCUUGUACAGGAUAGGUAGGAGCCUUUGAAACGUGAGCGCUAGCUUACGUGGAGGCGCUGGUGGGAUACUACCCUAGCUGUGUUGGCUUUCUAACCCGCACCACUUAUCGUGGUGGGAGACAGUGUCAGGCGGGCAGUUUGACUGGGGCGGUCGCCUCCUAAAAGGUAACGGAGGCGCUCAAAGGUUCCCUCAGAAUGGUUGGAAAUCAUUCAUAGAGUGUAAAGGCAU
Molecule: ribosomal RNA, 1779 nt
Filed under: Staphylococcus aureus
Lineage: Bacteria; Bacillati; Bacillota; Bacilli; Caryophanales; Staphylococcaceae
Description: partial 23S ribosomal RNA
Rfam family: Bacterial large subunit ribosomal RNA
Source: RNAcentral